Rhodamnia argentea is the source of this 301-nucleotide long non-coding RNA. RefSeq lists it as uncharacterized. The transcript has 3 exons. The record is from RefSeq and is a predicted model, not a curated record. Lineage: Eukaryota; Viridiplantae; Streptophyta; Magnoliopsida; Myrtales; Myrtaceae.
UAGCUACUAAAAUAGCUAUUUCUUGACCAAUACAUUAACCUAUUUUCCUGAGGCCAAAACUUUUCCAUCAACCUGAAACAUAAGCUAAACCCAUCCUUCUAAGUAUCGACAUUCCUCUUCACAUAGCUUGUGAGUCUUCCCCUAUCUUGGGUGCUAUAAACUUUUUUCAUAUAAUGUGCCUGCCUACUAUCUAUAACACAGUAUGCGUUCCAAUAAAUUCGUGAAUACAAAGCACGUGGUGUUAUAUGUUGCAGAAAGAACACAGAAAUAUCGGCGAGCAGUGACUGAUGACAAGUUACGA